GGCAGGGCUAGGCAACUGGUGGCCUUCCUUUAGGAUGACUAGAGAGCUAACUUGCUAUGCUGCAGAGUCCCUGAAUGCCAGAAUGCUAACGUCUUUUCUUUGAGGUUGUUCAAUAGCCUUAGCGAAGAACCCUCUGGUUUUUGCCUAAUGGGUAGACACCUGGCUGCUGUGAAUUGUGCACAAGGGAGGGGGAGGGGGAUUCAUGGUUUGAUAUGCAGCCUUCCCAUUAAACUCCCAAUUUUCAGCCCCACAUUUGACUCCCAUCCUUUAUCAUACCUGGCAUUGUCAAGACCAAGACACUCCAGGCUUCUGCAGAGAAAGAGCAACUUCUUCCUCUGAAGCAUCACCUCCAUGCAUACUCCAGGCUGUGGCUUCCUCCACCAUGCUCCAUCAGUCACCAUUCCUCCAUUGACUUCUAUCUUCCAGAAAUUUGUUGAAAUCUCUCUUUUGCUGAUGGACCUGUUCCCACUCUCUUCAUCAUUGUGGAUUUAUACCCUUUUUAAUCCCUUUACAAUGAUUUUAGCAGGGUCUCAGGAGGAAGUGGAGAAAAACACAUGAUACCUUCUUCCUGGAGUCCUCCGUCUUCCUGUUCCAAUUUGGACGGAUUGCUCUGUAGGCCUGCGGUGCAGCUGUCAUCCUGGGACGUCCCUUCAUUAUUCUGGGUUGGACCCAAUCUUUCUUGGACCCCAUAUCUUCCUCUUUCUUAGUUUACUCCCUUGUAGUGGACAUUGUAGUUGUUCUGCAGCAUCCAUUCCACUCCUCUCCCGCUGUAUAACAACUAUGCAAUGUGAGUGGGAUUGACCCCACCACCAGCUCUAGGUGUAGGCCUUUAUUGGUAUAAACUGAUCUGAGUAAUUUCACCCUCCUAGCCACAGUGAUGACUGGUUCAGGGAUGACCCAAUCACAAUGAGGCUUAGGACUUUUAUUCAGCUUUUGAGGGAGGAGAUGACCUAUCUUCCCUUGGAUAAGAACAAAGAAGCAUGUAGCCUGGUUGCUGCUGUUAGCCAUCUUGUGAACAUGUGGAAGGCCUACCUGAGGAUGGAGCUGAAAAAUGGAGGAGGCAGAGCCAAGAGAAUCACAGAAAUGGAACCAUAUUCCGGAUCAUGCCAUGCCUGAAAUCUCCCUGCCUGUGGACUCUUCAGUUAAGUGAGCCAAUGAAUUGCAUUUACUAUUCAAGACAGUUUGAGUUGGAUUUUGUAUUGCUUGUCCCUGAAAGCAUUCUAAUUUAUGUUUUUGGUUUUCUCACUCUGGAAAGGGGAUGGGUGCAUGUUUGGUUAUAUGAGGUAUAUUUGCACCGUAUUAGGUGGAAGCUUUUUUUAAAAGCAUAAAUACGGGAGGAAGGCUAUAUGUGGAUGUUGGAUGACCAAAGGAGCGAACUCUACUGUUCUCUAGCAUCUAAUUUCCCAUGCUGUUUUUUGGGGGAAUCCCUGCCAAAUUGGGAGGCAUGGCCCUAUUUCCCACUAUGGAAACUGAUGGUGGUCAGAUAUUUUCUUUCCCAGCCCGCCAGGCAACAAGGGCUGAAUACUCUGUUCAUGGCCUUGAAUCUGGAACCAGCAACAAAAAGAAGGCAGGAAUAUACAAAAUUAACAAAAGGAUGAUAGAUUAGGAGAAUAUAUAAGGAAGAUAGUAAACCCAAUAGGAAAAUGGGCAUAGGAUAUGAAGAGUAAUUUAUAGAAGGGGAAACUUGAGUUUACACAAGGGGAAACUUGAAUAUAUUAAGAGCUUUUUCAACUCUGCCAAUAAUUAGAGAAAUGAAAUUAAAAUAAUAAUGAGAAGUCACUACAGGAAUGGUAACAUGUAGAAAGUCAGAUAUUAUCAAGUGCUGAUGAAUCAGGAUGUGAGGAAAAGGACAACCAUGAGUUGGAAUGUAAACUGGUACAGGUAUUCCAGAGAGAGUUUGGCAGCACCCAUGAAAUUAAGUAUGUGAAUACCCUACAACCCAGUAAUCCCGCUUCUGGGCAUAUAUUCCAGAGAAAUUCUCAUACAGGUCCUAAGAAAAUAUAGUUGAGGUUGUUCAUUGCAGCACUGUUUGUGGUAGUGAGGAAUCAGAAGCAAUCAGGUGUUCAUCACUAUAGGACAGGAUAAACAAACUGUAUAUUCAUACGAUGGAAAACUACAAAACAAAAGUAAUAAACUAGAUUUACAUAUAGCCACAUGGAUAGGUCUCUAAAAUCCCCAGCAUUGAGAGAAAAAAGUAAGAAACAGAAUAGUAUUUAUAGUACAAUUCCAUUUACAGAAAUGUAAAACAACACUAUGUAUUUUCAUGGAUAUGCAUAUAAAUAAACAUAUGGAAGACGGAUUGAAAGUAUACAUACGUUAAUUACACUGGAGAGGCUCACUGAGUUAGGCAGGAGAAUGGGAGUAAGGAUAGGGACUGAUGGGGAAGAAGAAGAAGAUAAAGUAAAAGAAGAACUAAAGUAAAAGAGCAGCCUUCAGUGAACUGGUCAUAAUGUGCCAUAAAUUGCAGAUUAUGAUUAACUAAACUCUGAAGUCCACAACAAAUAAACCAAAACAACAGAUGUGAGGAUGGUUGGAGCUCCCUUGCAGUGGCAUGUGCCAGUAGGAUAAGGUCCACUGGUAGGAGCAGUGCAGGGAGCAGUGCCAACAGCAGCAUUCUAACCAGGCUGUUUUUAUGGUGGACCCUUAGCUGUGGUUCCUGAUGCCUGCCUUCCUCGCUCCCACUCCAUGUUCUCAGCCUGAUUCUCUAGACUUCCGUGAGCUACCUGAUAACUUCAUAAUAAAUCUCUUUUCUAGGCUGGGUGUGAGCGACCACACAUGGCCUAAUUUUUAUUUUUUAUCAAAGGAAUAUAUAUACAUACUUAAAAAAAUAAAACAGUGCUAAGAGAUGCCUAAUAAAAUCCAACAAUAUCCUGUCCUACUCCUUCCCACUGCAAGUCCUGCUCCCUAGAGGCAACUACUUCCAAAUCCCUUGUUCCUUGCCACCUCCCACUCAGAGGCUGAAGAACCAGAUACUUUCUUAGCCUCCCUUGCAGCUAAGGAUGACUACGUGACCUGGCUUUGGCCAGUGAGAUGUUUGCUGCGGGCCUUCUGAAAAAGUAUUUGCUUUUCUGAGCAGAGGCACAAAUAGCUGAUGUUGUCCCCUUCUUUCUUUCUGCUUUGAAUAUAGUCAAGCCGUCUGGAGCUGUGACAGCCAUCUUGUGACCAUGUGGGGAUGAGCACGAGGAAGAAGACAACAUGUGAAGGAAGAAAGUCAGAAAGAGCCCAAUUUCUUGAUGGCAUCAUUGAGCAGCUGAACCCAUGCCACAGUUCCUGUUAACUUAAAAAAAUAAAUAAAGCCAUAUGUGUUUAAGCCACUAUCAGUUGAGUUUUUUGUUACUUGUAGCUGAAAUGAUUUUUAUUUGAUGGACCGCCAUGGUUCCUUGUCAUAUGCUUAUAUCAUUCUUUCUUUCUUUCUUUCGAGACAGAGUCUCGCUGCAAUGCCCAGGCUGGAGUGCAAUGGCACGAUCUCGGCUCACUAAAACCUCCACCUCCCAGGUUCAAGCAUUUCUCCUGCCUCAGCCUCCUGAGCAGCUGGUAUUACAGGCGCCUGCCACCACACCCAG
This 3563-nucleotide long non-coding RNA is filed under the name Homo sapiens (human). Its description in RNAcentral is "HSALNT0282774". Lineage: Eukaryota; Metazoa; Chordata; Mammalia; Primates; Hominidae. The record is from RNAcentral.